CCAUGGCAGCAGGACUGCAGGGUCGCCGUCGUGCCAUCGCGCGGGUCCACGGUGGUCGCCGACGCCAAGUUGGCGGAUCCUCGCGGACGCAGCGCCCCGCCGCGGUGCUCUUCCAGUUCUUCCAAGUCCCCGAUGAGCUUCAGUGGAGAAGCAGAGCGCAACUUGAUCAUCGCCGAGGAAAUAAUAUGCUCCCUUAUUUAUCAUGAUCAGUGAUGAUUGAAUCACAGCGCCAUGCUUAAGUAAUCUUUCAAGGGUACAUGAUUGGAGCAAUCACAGAAGCCUGAGACUCUUGUUUUUUUUGGGGCUGCCUGAGACACUCUGAAAUGGACCAAAAGUGCGUCGUCAUUGAAGCCCAAAAUCUAACAGUAUAACCCUGAAGAUGGCCGUGCGGCCCAAAGUAUGCUCUUUGCCAACGAGGCCCAAAAAAGUGGGGCUUUGUGAUUGUUUGCAGGUAAAGUGGGCACGCCACUUAACCCGUUGCUUGGUGUUAUUGUUGAUCACGAGUUUGUUACGCCGAAUUUUUGGGGACCCUGCGAAGUACUAAUGAUUCCAUAUGUGGUUCAAGGCGUUCGAUCCGCAUUAAUCCAGAAUCAAGGGGUGCGCUACUAUACCUUUGGCAUAUAUGCAUGUAGAGAGAUCUUAUAAGCUGGUACAUCUCACUCGCGGCGAGCGAGAGCAGUGUGUUGCUCCAAGCCGCAUGAAAAAUGGACCACAACCAAUGUGGCCCAUUUAAUAAAGGUCCAGUUUUUUCUGUCAAAUAUGGAAAAUUAGCUUACUGAGGUAUAUCUAAUAAAUUUAAAUUAGUUAGUACUAAAAAGGAUUGAAGACGGUGUGGUAUAAAUAAUA
Hordeum vulgare subsp. vulgare (domesticated barley) is the source of this 846-nucleotide long non-coding RNA. RefSeq lists it as uncharacterized. The transcript has 4 exons. NCBI's taxonomy places the organism in Eukaryota, Viridiplantae, Streptophyta, Magnoliopsida, Poales, Poaceae. The record is from RefSeq and is a predicted model, not a curated record.